UUUGAACCGUGCCGCCAGGUUGUCGACGUGCUGGAAACCACUGGCCGUCAGCUGUCAAGCUGGCAUAUAAACACUCUCGACUCUCGCGGCCCGUUGCUAUUCCGUCAAACCUGCUCUUUCCUCGAAUUUCUCGUCAUUGCUCACUUUUUUUACUCUUCUUUUGUUCUCACGUUCAACAAAAGUUCGUUAGAAAAUUCUUCUUAAAUAUAUAUACAAUUAUAUAAUUUUUCGUGUCUUCCAAAUUUCUCGAAGCAACGGACAGGAAAGAAAUUGAAGAACGCACGCGCGAACGUUAAAGUGUCAUGAUAGGUGACAGACAAGAGCUAUUCAGCGUGUCUCAACGACGUCUUUACGUGGACAAUCGAUCUCCGAUUAUGUUAAGAGGAAACGACCUGAUUUCAGCUUAAUUCGAUCCGUUGCGUUUCCUCGUAAAUAUAUAUGCCACUUGACCACAGACUAUACGGUUGUUUAACGAGUAUCGUUCUUCGAUAGCAUGGCGUUCCUUUUUUUCUUUUCUUUCACGUCCCACCGAUAUUUACAGAACACUCCUUCGAACUACGUCUCGACCCGUUCGUAUUGCCUCUGUGUAUCUGUGUAUUCCCUAUUUGUGUGUGCGCGAAUGUAUAUACAAGUUGGCGCGGAUGGUCACGCGAAGAAAAAAGCAAAGAAUUCCUGGAGGCUUCUGCGAAGGAGGCACCGUCGUUCGCGGCCGAAGACCGGGUGAAAAGGAAUCCUCUUGUGUCACUCACAAGCCGAGACAUUAAAUAAUGCACCGGUACACGCGUCGUCUUUUGACAGGUACGACCUUGACUUUCGAACGCCAGACUCGUUUCUUACUCGUGCGUUUCUCUCUGUCACUCGCUUUUCUACCACGAUUCUUUCGAAACAAUCUUCUCGUAUCUGCACGAACGACUCGCGUUCAUCGUCUACGUCUAAUAACAAACUUCUUUCUUCUCGAUCGUCGAUGCGCGACUGCCAGUCGGCUUGUCGCCGUUUUUCUAGCCCAGGCGACCACUCGUUCACGAAACACACAGAUAGACAGAUGAGACGAACGUUAGUAAAAAAAGACGCACUCUGUUGGCCAACUUCCCGCUUGUGGCUGCUCCGUGGCCCACCUAGAAAUGUCAGUGGCGGUCUUGCCAAAGUCGAUGAUUUCGAUGACACGACCUCUGAUGCUACGUUCUGAAUUACAACAAGAACCACAGUGUGUGUUUUCGUUCUUAUUUCGUAUAUGUGUCUGCAGAUGUGGAUUAAUAGAAAAGAAAAUUCAUGCACUGCCGGAGGAUCUCGUUUUCCUGUACUCGUCGUGCCGCUAAAGGACGGUUCGUCCUAGCGGUCGAGUCUCUUCUUUGCACACCGUACCUCGCGACAAACUAGAAAGCGGAACCAGCUCCGCAAUGGAAAACCCUGAACGAAGUCUUCCAAUACAUCCGACACGUUCCAAGUCCAGCGGCAGACUGAAUUCGUCCGGUGGCUGUCAGGCCGCAGCACCGUCGACGCCGAGCGUUUCUCCCAUCCACUGCCGCGCAGACCCUUUCCACCAGUCCCCCACUACUCAUAGUCGGCGCAGCGGUCGCAUUUACCUUUUCCUCUUGCCUCUCCAACGUCCUAACCACGGCUUGCAGAAAGACUCCCGACUCCCGAUCUAUCGCUGUUCCUUUCUCUGUCUGAUACACUGGCAGACGCCGCGCCGCGUCGGUGCGCGCACACAGAGAGUCAGCAACGUGUCUCCGCGUACCCUUGCAGCGGGUGUCCUGCGUGCAAUAGUGUCAGUACGGCAUCGACGUAGCGAACUGCAUGUGAGACACGAACAUAGACGAGCAAACACACGCGUGGCCCGGGCCAGCAGCCGGUUAAGCCAGUACAUAUGUCGCGUCGCGUCGCGUCGUAGCGUAACGCAAAAAUCAUCCGCGUGCUGGUGUCGACGGUGAUAUCCCAGCGACAGGAUGGCGCGCUGUUAUCCUGGUAGAAGGGAAGCUGGCGAGAAGGACUCGAUACGGUGACACUGCCGCGCGGUUUCGUAGCCUGAAACCGUUCGAUUAAUCGCGCGUGAUCGCUGCAACUUAAUUACCAGAGACUUCAGGGCAGGUGUCAACGAUUAUCCCUGGGCAUCGUCGUGUCGCGCGAAGAGUGAAAAGCAGAAGAGCUGGAUCCGCUUCCAAAAGGUUUCCCUUCGGAUUUCAUCCUUCCCAGGACUUUUCGUCGUCGUACGUCUGGAUAACGAGCAGCCGAUAAGACGAUCCCAACGACGUCGAGCGUCGCCCUUUGUCAGCACCCGUCGAUUUCUUCCCCCUUUUCCCGAACGAUAGAUGGGGGAUUUCUCGGGGAUCUUCCAGGAAUUCACGCGGCUACGGGUUUCUUUUCGAAGAGAAGCGGAGAAUGCCGAUGGACGCGUCUUAAUCCGAGUCGACUGCCCUCCUCCCUAGGAGAGACGAGUUCUCUCCAAUCGAUUGUUGCGGCUGGUUUCUUUUCUCGGUACUUACAUCCUCGAGGUGUGUUUGAAUUGGCCCUGUACGUGUGACCAAGCUGGAGAAUUGUUACGUUUUCGGUUGAUGUUAUACGUGGCCUGGUUCGGUAGCUAUGGAUGGCUAGGUAGACACACGUUUCUCUAACUUUGUGUAUUUUCGUGAAAGGGAAUAAAGCAACAGAAAUCUGAUAUUUGUUCGAUCCUCUUUAUUUUCAAAUGAUAUAUCAAGAAGAAUGUAUAUAUAUUAUCGUUAGUAACUAAAAUAAAUACGCGUCGUUUUCUGAGUUAUUAGACAGCAUGUUUGGACAAAUUUCUAUUUCUAUGACAAAGGGUAGAGGAAUGGAACUCGAGAUUUGUUUCACCCUCGUUCUUAUGGAACGAAUAUUAUGGAAAUAAAAAUGUACGUUACUCUAAGUAUCUAAUUCAAACUAUUACUAAACUCUUUAAGAUACAAUAACAAUAUUUGAUAUAAGAUCGUAAGAUUAUUUGUACGAUAAAAUCAUUUCGAUAAACCAAUCUGUAUCGAUAAAAAUUCUGUAAAAUCAAUAGGCUAAAAAUUCGAAGAGAAGUACGACAAAUCUUAAAGAGCCGCAAACGUUGGAAACUACGCAAGUGGAACGUGUAUACGCACAAUACGAGCCAGAUGACGAAGCGAAAAGGAGACAGAGAGAUCAUGUGUAUCAAAAGGGUGAGGGUAACACACGUGUCUGUCGUUGGGUCAGGGUCGACGCGUAAGCGAGAAAAUCGAGAGGGAAAUCUGGCUGCUGCCAGUCGAUACAUCCGAGGUGGUCCUACCCCAUAUUACACACGGUGAGGGAUGUUUGCUAUGUCCCAUUCACGAACCAUUACGAAAUACUGCAUGCUGGUUAAUACCAGCACCGCAAUCUGUAACCAGGCACAAUGCCAUGGAAAAAGUUUCCGUUAUAGCGAGAAAUUUAUCUCUCGAUAAACCAACGAAAUCAUUGUGAAAAAUUGAUUUCCUUUCCGACGAUUUACACCUCUUGAUUUGCGAAGAGAAUUAGAUCCAAGAGACGGAAGAAAAGGGAAGUAAAGAGAAGAACAGAUUGCUUAUAAGAUUAGGGUUUUGGGUAUACAUCUUCGUUUAGAGCGAAAUAAUCAAAAUAUAUAUCAAUGACAAAAUCCACAAUCACUUAGUUGCCAACCCAAUACAACAACAUACAUUUUUCUUUGUAUAA
Molecule: long non-coding RNA, 3663 nt
Organism: Bombus huntii
Lineage: Eukaryota; Metazoa; Arthropoda; Insecta; Hymenoptera; Apidae
Exons: 2
Source: RefSeq, a predicted model, not a curated record